RNAcentral lists this unclassified non-coding RNA (318 nucleotides) under plant metagenome. RNAcentral describes it as "partial contains 5.8S ribosomal RNA, internal transcribed spacer 2, and large subunit ribosomal RNA". The stretch from base 1 to 105 matches the Rfam family "5.8S ribosomal RNA", at positions 50 to 154 of the family's 154-position model. The record is from RNAcentral.
GAAAUGCGAUAAGUAAUGUGAAUUGCAGAAUUCAGUGAAUCAUCGAAUCUUUGAACGCACAUUGCGCCCGCCAGAAUUCUGGCGGGCAUGCCUGUUCGAGCGUCAUUUCAACCCUCGAGCUCCCCUUUCGGGGGGAGCCCGGCGUUGGGGACCCGGCGCUAUCAACGCCGGCCCCGAAAUGGAGUGGCAGCCCGUCCGCGGCGACCUCUGCGUAGUAACAACCACUCGCACCGGGACCCGGGCGCGGCCACGCCGUAAAACACCCCACCUUCCGAAUGUUGACCUCGAAUCAGGUAGGAAUACCCGCUGAACUUAAGC